ACUUACGGCCAUACCAGCCUGAAUACGCCCGAUCUCGUCUGAUCUCGUUAGCUAAGCAGGGUCGGGCCUGGUUAGUACUUGGAUGGGGGACUGCCUGGGAAUACCAGGUGCUGUAAGUG
Molecule: ribosomal RNA, 119 nt
Filed under: Hucho hucho (huchen)
Lineage: Eukaryota; Metazoa; Chordata; Actinopteri; Salmoniformes; Salmonidae
Source: RNAcentral